This 3622-nucleotide long non-coding RNA is filed under the name Marmota monax (woodchuck). Lineage: Eukaryota; Metazoa; Chordata; Mammalia; Rodentia; Sciuridae. The record is from RNAcentral.
AUUGAACUCAGGGGCACUUGACCACUGAGCCACAUCCUCAGCCUUAUUUUGUAGUUUAUUUAGAGACAGGGUCUCACUGAGUUGCUUAGUACCUUGCAGUUGCUGAGGCUGGUUUUGAACUCGCAAUUCUCCUGUCUCAGCCUCCCAAGCCCCUGGGAUUGCAGGAGUGCGCCACCACGCCCAGCUAGAGUUAUCACUCUUGAUGUCAAACUUGAUCACCUGGCUGAAGUAAUGUUUGUCGGGUUUCUCCAUAGUAAAGGUACUCUCCUCUUUUGUUCUUUUAAAAAAUAAUUUCCCCAUAUUGUGCUUCCUGCAAAAAAGUCACUAUGCACAGCCUGCACUUAAAGAGUAAAGAGGUAUGGAGCAGCUCUGUGAGGGGGAAUUUGUCUGCAAAGGAGGUUUGUCUCUUCUCCUCCAUAUAUUUAUGUAAUCAUUGAUUUAUAUCAAUAUGGACUCCAGUUAUUUUUCACUUUGUGUUAUAAUCCAAUACAAAUUUAUUUAUUUCCCUACUCAACUAUUCCAGUUUUGACCAUUGGAAGCUUUUUAGAUGGUGCCUAUGAACUAAAAGAACAAGAAAAUGUAUGUAUGUAUAAUAACCCUAUAUGUACACAUAUCUAUCUACACAUGUUAUGAUUUGGAUUGGGGUGUCCCUCAAAAGCUCACAUGUAAGACAGCGCAAAAAGGUUCAGAGGAGAAAUGAGUCUUAAACCAAUCAGUGAUUUAAUCCCCUGAAUGGGAUUAACUGAAUGGUAACUGAAGUGGUAAGGUGUGGCUGGAGGGGGUGGGAAUUAGGGUGUGGCUUUGGGACAUAUUUGUAUCUGGUGAGUGGCUGCUCUUUCUCUCUGCUUUCUGAUCAGCACAUGAGCUGUUUCCCUCUGUCACACUCUUCCACCAUGAUGUUCCGCCUUACCUGGAGCCCUGAGGAAUAGAACCGACCUUUUAUGGACUAAGACUUCUGAAACCAUGAGGCCUCAAAAAACUUUUCCUCUUUUAAAAUUGUUCUGGUCAGGUCCUUUGGUCACAGCAGCCCAAAAGCUGCCUAAAACACACGCUUAUAUAUGUUACCAGAUAUAUCUGUAUUAAGCUGAACAUGAGUUCACACUCAACUCUAGUGCAUUACCAGUCAGUGUUAUUUUAUUUAACAGGAAUAGAGGGAGAAAAUAAAAGGAGAAGGAAAAAUAGGCAAAACAAUGUUCCUAUUUUGGGGUUGAUGGGACCAUAGACUACACUGAGCUCUCAGAGGAUGUAAACAAGUACUUCAACAGAAAAAUAAGCUACAUUCAUUAGUAGAAAUUUUCAGAUUUAGUAUUUAGUAGGGAUACACUUCAAAGGCUUUUGAUGUAACAUGCAAAAAAAAAAAAUGGAUACCUUGUAAUUGAAGUCCAACAUUUUCAAUAGGAUAAGAGAGAUGUGAGGAUCCUGUCACCUUAGAGAGAAAUCUCAACACAGGCCUAUUGGGAGGAAGUUGCAAUAAAAAAUGUCCCAGCCUAGCCUAGCCUCAUUGUCUUCCUACAGGCCACUACUCCUGAUGACCACUGGAAGUUCCUCUAGGACAGACUGUCAUAGCUAUUAUUCCCCUAAAAGCUAAAGGUCCUGUAGGAAUAGGAGGACAGAACAUAGGGUCUAGAACAGAAAGAAACUGAAUUGGAGGAUCACCUCCAUCAUUAUCAGUAGUGUAAGUAUCCUAAGUUCUUUAAACCUUAGUUUUCUCAUUAGUGAAUAGGGAAAUAAUUCCUGCAGUAUUUAGUGUUUAGGAACAGUGUUAUGAUCAAGAAAAAAUGUGAAAUGUCAAAGUAAUUUGUGAACUGAUAAAAAUUCAAUAAAUGUUAUUCCUUAUAUUGUCUUCAGUGGGAGGAGACCACUGGUACUUGGAGGGGGCAUACAUAGCACAGUGGUCAAGAAUGUGAGCACUAAGCUCUGGAGGACAUCAGAUAACUCUAUCCCAAUUGAGUGAUCAGAGGAGGCUGUCCGCUGGGAAGACCUCUCCUAAGGUUCUGGGAGAGACUCUAAAAUGCAUGAAAUUUAUCAAAUAAGACAUUUUACUACAAUCAAAUUAGCUUACUUUCUUUGUCUGUUUUGACUUUUCUUCAUGUCAGAUGGUUGUUGGAGGAGCUGUGGACAUUUCUGAGAUGUGGCUAAAAGGAAUUUGAUUUCGGAAUUCAAUGUGCAUUGAUAUAGAAGGAUGUAUGUAUGUAUGUAUGUGGUUCACAAUUAUUUCCAUGUGGAGUUAAUUUGUUGCCUAAUACUUUGAAGGAAUACCAGGAAUAAUUCUAACUCUUCAUUUGUGCUGACUUAAACAGCAUCAAGACAUAAAAAUAAAGGACUGGAAGUCUUCUUAUGAUAUGAAUGUGUACUAUGGAAAAAUUUUUGAAGACUGUGGAGGUAUUUACGGAGGUUUCUUGAAUAGGAAAACUUGCAAUCUUAUAAUUCAUAUGAGAAAGAAACUUGGAAAAGUUUUUCCGCAUACAUCACAUUACUGAAACAAAUUGGGAAACCAAAAAAAAUGUGCUGAAGUAUUAAUAAUAAAAGACAAAUUUUGGUUAAUCAUAUUGGAAGGAAAAUUAACUGAUCUCAAUUUUUUCCCCUAGAAAAUAAUAUUACAAAAUCUUUGUCAUUGUGAAAUUGAUUCAAGACCGUGAGGACUAUGAAGUUAAAUUUCAGGAAAAAAGAUAGGUACCAUGCAGCUAGUUAGUUAACAUUAUGCUAUUUCCUAGAUUUUGUGAUGUUUGUGGUCAUGCUAGCUUUAAAAAAAAAAUUAAUGUUAGGCACCAGGGAAUAUGUGCCUACCCACAUGCCUACCCCAUGUUUGCUUCUUUGGGAAUCCUGCCAAGUCUGUAACAAGUAGCUGUGGAAGGAGAUGGAUUUCUGUGAUGCACAAAAAUGUAGGACUGAAUAUAGAUUUUCUUUUAGAGUCUUUGUAUUUCAGGAAACUUCUCUUGUGAAGUAAGGCUAUACAGCUCCAAAAGUCAUGCUUUCAGAGUUCUCUUCCUAUCAAUUCUGGGCUCCUAGAGCUUCCUUCUGUUUGGGCAGCUUCCUCCCACAUUGGUCUGGAAGAACAUAUGACUCCUGGGGACCCACCUUACUACUUGGAGCCACUUUGGCAGUUUGUCACUACUGGAAAUAGGAGACUUGGACUUGCUGGUUCCAGUUGUGCUGAUAUAUAGAUUCCCCUGUGCAGUCAUCACUCAUUCAUGUAAUAAAGCAUUUCAUGUUAGUGUAAAAUAACUUUUAUGCUCAUAGGUUGAUCCUUGGAACAAAUGUUUUGAGGUUUCUGCAAAAGAACUGGCAGUGCUAGAAAUCUGAAUCAUGUGAGUACUCUGUCACUCACUAAUUUGGUUCUGAAAUCUAUAGAAACCUGCAAAUCAUUCCAGUAUUAUAAUUUCUUUUUCUUUUUUGGUACUGGGGACUGAACCCAGGAAAGCUUAAUCACUGCACAUAUCCCCAGCCCUUUUUAUUUUGUUUAUUUUGAGACAGGUUCUCACUAAGUUGAUAAAGGCCUUGCUAAAUUGCUGAGGUUGGCUUUGAGCUUGUGAUCCUCCUGCCUCAGUCUCUCAAGCCGCUAGGAUUACAGGCAUGCCCAGUAUUAUAACUUCUAACCUGGUUUUUCUUCAAAUUAUUCAUG